This 522-nucleotide ribosomal RNA is filed under the name uncultured Geobacillus sp. Its description in RNAcentral is "partial 16S ribosomal RNA". Lineage: Bacteria; Bacillati; Bacillota; Bacilli; Caryophanales; Anoxybacillaceae. The record is from RNAcentral.
CACGUAGUUAGCCGGGGCUUUCUCGUGAGGUACCGUCACCGCGCCGCCCUCUUCGAACGGCGCUCCUUCGUCCCUCACAACAGAGCUUUACGGCCCGAAGGCCUUCUUCGCUCACGCGGCGUCGCUCCGUCAGGCUUUCGCCCAUUGCGGAAGAUUCCCUACUGCUGCCUCCCGUAGGAGUCUGGGCCGUGUCUCAGUCCCAGUGUGGCCGGUCACCCUCUCAGGCCGGCUACGCAUCGUCGCCUUGGUGAGCCGUUACCUCACCAACUAGCUAAUGCGCCGCGGGCCCAUCCGCAAGUGACAGCCCAAAGGCCGCCUUUCAACCGAAGACCAUGCGGUCUUCGGUGUUAUCCGGUAUUAGCUCCGGUUUCCCGGAGUUAUCCCGGUCUUGCGGGCAGGUUGCCCACGUGUUACUCACCCGUCCGCCGCUGACCGAAUCAAGGCAAGCCCCAAUCCGGUCCGCUCGACUUGCAUGUAUUAGGCACGCCGCCAGCGUUCGUCCUGACGCCAGGAUCAAACUCU